This 253-nucleotide ribosomal RNA is filed under the name uncultured bacterium. RNAcentral describes it as "partial 16S ribosomal RNA". It matches the Rfam family "Bacterial small subunit ribosomal RNA", at positions 524 to 776 of the family's 1533-position model. The record is from RNAcentral.
UACGUAGGGGGCAAGCGUUGUCCGGAUUUAUUGGGCGUAAAGCGCUCGCAGGUGGUCCGUUGCGUCGUGCGUGAAAGCCCCCGGCUCAACUGGGGAGGGUCACUCGAUACUGAUCGACUCGAAGGCAGAAGAGGGAAGCGGAAUUCCCGGUGUAGUGGUGAAAUGCGUAGAUAUCGGGAGGAACACCAGUGGCGAAGGCGGCUUUCUGGUCUGCUCUUGACGCUGAGGCGCGAAAGCUAGGGUAGCAAACGGG